This 75-nucleotide transfer RNA is filed under the name Saccharolobus shibatae. RNAcentral's name for it is "transfer RNA-Arg". It matches the Rfam family "tRNA". Rfam says of the family: Transfer RNA (tRNA) molecules are approximately 80 nucleotides in length. Lineage: Archaea; Thermoproteati; Thermoproteota; Thermoprotei; Sulfolobales; Sulfolobaceae. The record is from RNAcentral. RNAcentral also lists the same sequence under 2 other names.
GGACCCGUAGCUCAGCCAGGAUAGAGCACUGGCCUCCGGAGCCGGAGGUCCCGGGUUCAAAUCCCGGCGGGUCCG